GACGAACGCUGGCGGCGUGCUUAACACAUGCCAGUCGAACGGAAAGGCCCCUUUGGGGGUACUCGAGUGGCGAACGGGUGAGUAACACGUGAGUAACCUGCCCUUGACUUCGGGAUAACUUCAGGAAACUGGGGCUAAUACCGGAUAGGAAUCCUUGCUGCAUGGUGGGGGUUGGAAAGCUUCGGCGGUUUUGGAUGGACUCGCGGCUUAUCAGCUUGUUGGUGGGGUAGUGGCUUACCAAGGCUUUGACGGGUAGCCGGCCUGAGAGGGCGACCGGCCACAUUGGGACUGAGAUACGGCCCAGACUCCUACGGGAGGCAGCAGUGGGGAAUAUUGCACAAUGGGCGGAAGCCUUAUGCAGCAACGCCGCGGGCGGGAUGACGGCCUUCGGGUUGUAAACCGCUUUCAGCAGGGGCGAAGCUUGUGGUGACGGUACCUGCAGAAGAAGCACCGGCUAACUACGUG
This 465-nucleotide ribosomal RNA is filed under the name uncultured bacterium. RNAcentral's name for it is "partial 16S ribosomal RNA". It matches the Rfam family "Bacterial small subunit ribosomal RNA", at positions 28 to 507 of the family's 1533-position model. The record is from RNAcentral.